CCUACGGGUGGCAGCAGUGAGGAAUAUUGGUCAAUGGACGAGAGUCUGACCCAGCCAAGUAGCGUGAAGGAUGACUGCCCUAUGGGUUGUAAACUUCUUUUAUAUGGGAAUAAAAUGUUCCACGUGUGGGAUUUUGUAUGUACCAUAUGAAUAAGGAUCGGCUGACUAUGUUCCAGCAGCCGCGGUAAUACGUCGGAUCCGAGCGUUAUCCGGUUUUAUUGGGUUUAAAGGGAGCGUAGGUGGAUUGUUAAGUCAGUUGUGAAAGUUUACGGCUCAACCGUAAAAUUGCAUUUGAAACUGGGUGUCUUGAGUACAGUAGAGGUGGGCGGAAUUCGUGGUGUAGCGGUGAAAUGCUUAGAUAUCACGAAGAACUCCGAUUGCGAAGGCAGAUCACUGGACUGCAACUGACACUGAGGCUCGAAAGUGUGGGUAUCAAACAGGAUUAGAUACCCCGGUAGUC
Molecule: ribosomal RNA, 460 nt
Filed under: uncultured bacterium
Lineage: Bacteria
Description: partial 16S ribosomal RNA
Rfam family: Bacterial small subunit ribosomal RNA
Source: RNAcentral